AAAAAAAAGUUUCAAAAAUCGGGAGGAGGAAAACCCCCCCCCCCCCCCAUUUCUCUUCUUUCCCUCUCCUUCCCUUUCUUCUUCUUCUUCCUUUCUCCGGUGACCGGCCGGCGGCGUCCCAAGCAGCUCCCCACCGGCCAGCGACCCUCCGGCGACCACCAGGACCACCAGAAACGGCGGCAAGAGAGGGAGAGGAGAGAGAAAACGCGCGCACAGUGGGCAGCGGCUUUCCGGCGCGAUUUCGGCUUCAUCCGACGUCCGAUCGAGGCGAUUUUGGUGGCGUUGGAAAGCUUGUUCCGAGAGCUUUCUUUUGAUACCAAUUUUGAAGCAAAUGGAGGUCGGAUGAGUGAGAUAUGGAGGAGAGAAGUUUCGGGUUUUUCAAGCUUUUUCGUCAGAUCUACGACGAUCCGACCGUUGGAUCGACGAUCCGAGACCACAUAUGGACUGAGGAAGAGUAGAGGAGCAUGGGGGUAUGAUCAGAUUCGGAAAAUGUUGCCGGCGACCGCGGCCGGCCACCGUGCGCGGUGGUGCCGGCGGUGGCUCCGGUGAGCUAUGGAGAUGGUUCAACUUCCAGAGGCUUCCUCAUAAAUUUUUGGAAUUUUUGAGACACAGAUAAACUCGAGUAAGACAAUUUUUAUUAUUUCUCUAUCUAUGGAGCAUAAAUACAGUGUUUCUUAAACAGGAAAAAUUGGAGAAAAAUUCUAAGAAAAAUAUAUGAUGAAAGUAAAAUUAUUUGGAGAUAUUCUAUGGUGUUAGUUGAAUUUUUGGGUGAUCGUAGAAUAUUUUUGAGAAAUAUGGAUGGAUUUUAGUUAUAUUUUUAGCAUGUGGGCAUAUAAGAUUAAUUGAAAUUAAGAUAAUCAAAUUUUAUAUAAUUGGUUGGAGCUUGAGGAUGGAGGUUUAAAUAUGUGAAUAUUUAAUUGGGUUGAAUUAGGAAUAUGUUAGCUGUUGGAAACUUAUGGAAUCGAGUAAAAUUCUUGAAUAAAAUAUUCAUGGGUAAUUAGAAAAUUACAAUUCAUUUUGCAAUAGCCUUAUAAUAUUAUUAAGGACCGCGGGGCAAAAUUUUAGAAUUUUUAGAGCUUGUUUGAGUGGAUUUUUGAAAAAUGUCAAUUAUAGGGACUAAAACGUAAUUUUUAAGAUUUUGAGUAUUGUCCGAUUUGGAGGGCCCAUGUGAUAUUGAUGAGAUGUGAUUGUAGAAAUUGAGAAUUUAGAAGUGUUAUUUGAGCCUUUUUGCAGGUUGGGUAGGUCCCAGGUAUAGGGGAAACUCUGCCGGAUUUCCGGCAUGAAUUAGGCUGUCUAUUGCCUCUUUAGAGUUUUAUUUUGAGUUAGUACUAAUAAAUUUAUAAUUUAAUUAUUAGGUGAUCGAGAUCAACUAUUUUCCUGCAUCCAGCAGCCACAAUAGUCGACGGUGUACUGCCACAGGAGGAGUUAUUUUACAGAACAACCUGUUUUCUUCCUCGCAGGUUUAACGUCAAUUAUUUAAUUGUUUUACUAUCUUUUUCUAAAUUUAAAAUCUAGAACUCCGCAUGUGUUAGAAAUAGUGUGGACCUUGGUAGAGGUUGGGUUAAUUUAAAUUUUUAAGAUUAAUAAAUGAAGAUUUGUAUGGUAUUUAAACAGUUUGUAAGUGAGGUAACAGGGUUGAGCUGGGCUCCCCUGAUUUUAGUUUCUGAAAAUUUGUGGGCUAAGUUGGCCCGAAAUGAAAUUAUAACAGUUUGAUUUAAA
Long non-coding RNA from Hevea brasiliensis (rubber tree), 1719 nucleotides. RefSeq lists it as uncharacterized. The transcript is spliced from 2 exons. Lineage: Eukaryota; Viridiplantae; Streptophyta; Magnoliopsida; Malpighiales; Euphorbiaceae. The record is from RefSeq and is a predicted model, not a curated record.